This 149-nucleotide non-coding RNA is filed under the name Armatimonadota bacterium. Its description in RNAcentral is "Armatimonadetes bacterium (sediment metagenome) 6S RNA". It matches the Rfam family "6S / SsrS RNA". Rfam says of the family: E. coli 6S RNA was the first non coding RNA to be sequenced, but its function was unknown until recently. It consists of 184 nucleotides that fold into an extended hairpin structure with a large single-stranded internal bulge. The record is from RNAcentral. Lineage: Bacteria; Bacillati; Armatimonadota.
CGAGCCCUGCGGUGUGCGGGAUUGCCCGACCUGUUCGGAGCCGACAAGCACACGCUUGGGAGACGGACUCGCCCCUCGCGGGCGGCCGUUUCCACCCGUUUCGUUCGGGGUUUCCGGACAUUGACGGCACCCGGCACAGCGGGGCAUCU